RNAcentral lists this ribosomal RNA (466 nucleotides) under uncultured bacterium. RNAcentral describes it as "partial 16S ribosomal RNA". It matches the Rfam family "Bacterial small subunit ribosomal RNA", at positions 28 to 508 of the family's 1533-position model. The record is from RNAcentral.
GACGAACGCUGGCGGCGUGCUUAACACAUGCAAGUCGAACGGAAAGGCCCCUUUGGGGGUACUCGAGUGGCGAACGGGUGAGUAACACGUGAGUAACCUGCCCUUGACUUCGUGAUAACUUCAGGAAACUGGGGCUAAUACCGGCUAGGAAUCCUUGCUGCAUGGUGGGGGUUGGAAAGCUUCGGCGGUUUUGGAUGGACUCGCGGCUUAUCAGCUUGUUGGUGGGGUAGUGGCUUACCAAGGCUUUGACGGGUAGCCGGCCUGAGAGGGCGACCGGCCACAUUGGGACUGAGAUACGGCCCAGACUCCUACGGGAGGCAGCAGUGGGGAAUAUUGCACAAUGGGCGGAAGCCUGAUGCAGCAACGCCGCGUGCGGGAUGACGGCCUUCGGGUUGUAAACCGCUUUCAGCAGGGGCGAAGCUUGUGGUGACGGUACCUGCAGAAGAAGCACCGGCUAACUACGUGC